This 72-nucleotide transfer RNA is filed under the name Camelus bactrianus (Bactrian camel). It matches the Rfam family "tRNA". From Rfam's summary of the family: Transfer RNA (tRNA) molecules are approximately 80 nucleotides in length. Their secondary structure includes four short double-helical elements and three loops (D, anti-codon, and T loops). Further hydrogen bonds mediate the characteristic L-shaped molecular structure. tRNAs have two regions of fundamental functional importance: the anti-codon, which is responsible for specific mRNA codon recognition, and the 3' end, to which the tRNAs corresponding amino acid is attached (by aminoacyl-tRNA synthetases). tRNAs cope with the degeneracy of the genetic code in two manners: having more than one tRNA (with a specific anti-codon) for a particular amino acid; and 'wobble' base-pairing, i.e. permitting non-standard base-pairing at the 3rd anti-codon position. RNAcentral also lists the same sequence under 1 other name. Lineage: Eukaryota; Metazoa; Chordata; Mammalia; Artiodactyla; Camelidae. The record is from Rfam by way of RNAcentral.
GUAGGUACAGCUCAAUGGUACAGCGCAUGCCUUGUACGCAUGAGGUCCUGGGUUCAAUCCCCAGUACCUCCA